Molecule: ribosomal RNA, 1056 nt
Filed under: Sphingobacterium sp. HMSC13C05
Lineage: Bacteria; Pseudomonadati; Bacteroidota; Sphingobacteriia; Sphingobacteriales; Sphingobacteriaceae
Description: bacterial SSU rRNA
Rfam family: Bacterial small subunit ribosomal RNA
Source: RNAcentral
AGCUGAAUGUACUGGAAGAAUAAGGAUCGGCUAACUCCGUGCCAGCAGCCGCGGUAAUACGGAGGAUCCGAGCGUUAUCCGGAUUUAUUGGGUUUAAAGGGUGCGUAGGCGGCCUAUUAAGUCAGGGGUGAAAUACGGUGGCUCAACCAUCGCAGUGCCUUUGAUACUGAUGGGCUUGAAUCCAUUUGAAGUGGGCGGAAUAAGACAAGUAGCGGUGAAAUGCAUAGAUAUGUCUUAGAACUCCGAUUGCGAAGGCAGCUCACUAAGCUGGUAUUGACGCUGAUGCACGAAAGCGUGGGGAUCGAACAGGAUUAGAUACCCUGGUAGUCCACGCCCUAAACGAUGAUAACUCGAUGUUGGCGAUAGACAGCCAGCGUCCCAGCGAAAGCGUUAAGUUAUCCACCUGGGGAGUACGCCCGCAAGGGUGAAACUCAAAGGAAUUGACGGGGGCCCGCACAAGCGGAGGAGCAUGUGGUUUAAUUCGAUGAUACGCGAGGAACCUUACCCGGGCUUGAAAGUUAGUGAAGAGUGCAGAGACGCACUCGUCCUUCGGGACACGAAACUAGGUGCUGCAUGGCUGUCGUCAGCUCGUGCCGUGAGGUGUUGGGUUAAGUCCCGCAACGAGCGCAACCCCUAUGUUUAGUUGCCAGCAUUUAAGGUGGGGACUCUAAACAGACUGCCUGUGCAAACAGAGAGGAAGGUGGGGACGACGUCAAGUCAUCAUGGCCCUUACGUCCGGGGCUACACACGUGCUACAAUGGAUGGUACAGCGGGCAGCUACAUAGCAAUAUGAUGCUAAUCUCUAAAAGCCAUUCACAGUUCGGAUUGGGGUCUGCAACUCGACCCCAUGAAGUUGGAUUCGCUAGUAAUCGCGUAUCAGCAAUGACGCGGUGAAUACGUUCCCGGGCCUUGUACACACCGCCCGUCAAGCCAUGAAAGUUGGGGGUACCUAAAGCAUGUUACCGCAAGGAGCGUGUUAGGGUAAAACCGAUAAUUGGGGCUAAGUCGUAACAAGGUAGCCGUACCGGAAGGUGCGGCUGGAAUACCUCCUUUCUA